GACGGAGGGUGCUAGCGUUGUUCGGAAUGACUGGGCGUAAAGGGCGCGUAGGCGGCUUAUCAAGUCAGGCGUGAAAUUCCCGGGCUCAACCUGGGGGCUGCGCUUGAUACUGAUUGGCUUGAAUGCGGGAGAGGAUAGUGGAAUUCCCAGUGUAGAGGUGAAAUUCGUAGAUAUUGGGAAGAACACCGGUGGCGAAGGCGGCUAUCUGGCCCGUAAUUGACGCUGAGGCGCGAAAGCGUGGGGAGCAAACAGG
This 253-nucleotide ribosomal RNA is filed under the name uncultured bacterium. Its description in RNAcentral is "partial 16S ribosomal RNA". It matches the Rfam family "Bacterial small subunit ribosomal RNA", at positions 524 to 776 of the family's 1533-position model. The record is from RNAcentral.